This 231-nucleotide ribosomal RNA is filed under the name Triticum aestivum (bread wheat). RNAcentral's name for it is "partial small subunit ribosomal RNA". Lineage: Eukaryota; Viridiplantae; Streptophyta; Magnoliopsida; Poales; Poaceae. The record is from RNAcentral.
AUGGCCAUGGCACCGAGAGCGUUGCUCCUCCUGGCCGUCGGGCUCAUGGUCGUGGCCUCGGCGAGCGCCCACGGCGGCUACUACGGGUCGUGCCCCAGGGACAUGCUGAAGGUGAAGGCGUGCGUGAACGUGCUGGGCCUGCUCAAGGUCAAUGUCAACCAGCCGCGCGACGAGCACUGCUGCUCGCUCCUCGACGGGCUCGCCGGCCUGGACGCGGCGCUCUGCCUCUGA